Molecule: ribosomal RNA, 253 nt
Filed under: uncultured bacterium
Lineage: Bacteria
Description: partial 16S ribosomal RNA
Rfam family: Bacterial small subunit ribosomal RNA
Source: RNAcentral
UACGUAGGGUGCGAGCGUUGUCCGGAAUUAUUGGGCGUAAAGAGCUUGUAGGCGGUUUGUCGCGUCUGCUGUGAAAUUUCGGGGCUCAACCCCGAACUUGCAGUGGGUACGGGCAGACUAGAGUGUGGUAGGGGAGACUGGAAUUCCUGGUGUAGCGGUGAAAUGCGCAGAUAUCAGGAGGAACACCGAUGGCGAAGGCAGGUCUCUGGGCCGAUACUGACGCUGAGGAGCGAAAGCGUGGGGAGCGAAUAGG